CCCGCUGAACUUAAGCAUAUCAAUAAGCGGAGGAAAAGAAACUAACAAGGAUUCCCCUAGUAACUGCGAGUGAAGCGGGAAAAGCUCAAAUUUAAAAUCUGGCGGUCUUUGGCUGUCCGAGUUGUAAUCUAGAGAAGUGUUAUCCGCGCUGGACCGUGUACAAGUCUCCUGGAAUGGAGCGUCAUAGAGGGUGAGAAUCCCGUCUUUGACACGGACUGCCAGGGCUUUUGUGAUGCGCUCUCAAAGAGUCGAGUUGUUUGGGAAUGCAGCUCAAAAUGGGUGGUAAAUUCCAUCUAAAGCUAAAUAUUGGCGAGAGACCGAUAGCGAACAAGUACCGUGAGGGAAAGAUGAAAAGAACUUUGGAAAGAGAGUUAAACAGUAUGUGAAAUUGUUGAAAGGGAAGCGCUUGCAACCAGACUUGUGUAUAGUGGCUCCCCAUGUCUUCUGACUGGACUAUUCUACUAUAUUCAGGCCAGCAUCGAUUUAGGUGGCCAGUUAAAGGUCCUGGGAAUGUAUCUACCUUCGGGUCGACUUAUAGCUCAGGGUGUAAUGUGGCCUACUUGGAUCGAGGAACGCGCUUUUGCUCGGAUGUUGGUGUAAUGGUUGUAAGCGGCCCGUCUUGAAACACGG
This 630-nucleotide ribosomal RNA is filed under the name uncultured fungus. Its description in RNAcentral is "eukaryotic LSU rRNA". It matches the Rfam family "Eukaryotic large subunit ribosomal RNA", at positions 24 to 664 of the family's 3401-position model. Lineage: Eukaryota; Fungi. The record is from RNAcentral.